Molecule: long non-coding RNA, 825 nt
Filed under: Nicotiana tabacum (common tobacco)
Lineage: Eukaryota; Viridiplantae; Streptophyta; Magnoliopsida; Solanales; Solanaceae
Description: long non-coding RNA (NTAB_LNC012644)
Source: RNAcentral
GGUGAUCAGGUAACGUCCCUUCUCUAUCCAAAAUAGGAACAGCUUGAUUUCUUUGUUUCUUCAACUCUCAGAUCUUUCGAUUACAUUUGUUUGCCAACUUUGAACGAAUUCUCUACUUCAGUCCCAAAGAACCUCCGUACUACAACUAAUGGUUAUAUAUGCGAGACCAUAUAUUUUACGACCACUUUUCACAGCUUUUAAUGAGAAUACAGCAAAAAGUAAGUGCUAAUACUCUUUCAAUUUCUUGCCAUGUUCGAGGGCAUCAAGUUACAGUAGUUUGAAAAAACAAAUCUGUGUUUUCGAGCACAGGUAUAUGUUUAUACAAUCAAUUAAAAUUUGAUUGAGCUAAGAUAAGAUCUAAGGACUGAUUCAUCUUUUUAUUCUUAUUAGGGCUGGAUAAAGAGGAAACCUUUAUCUCAUCUUGUGUUAUUAAGUAUGCACUCAGUAGUUUGUAGCAUAACCUAAUAGACAUGUGUUAGCCCUUGACAAAGUUCCUCGGCAGGUGUGGGUUGUGACAAGGAUUUUCAUGAUGGCCUUGACACAACUUACAAAAUGGGGCAACAUCAUGACGGGCAGCUCGGUAUAACGGACUAAGUGGAGGCACGUUUUAGAUCAUGGCUGAUUGUGUGGCUUAGUGAUACACGUUUUUAGCAUGUUCCCUAUGUUUGCUCAUCAGUUGGGGCUUGUCAACUGAUUGUCUAAAAUGCUGCCAAGUGUAAUUGAGCAGCCUGCACUAUAAAUAUUUGCAUAAGGUUGUCCCAAAUGGGCAGAAAACUUAGUCUUGUAGCAAGUGUUAGCCAAAAACGUCUAAGUGUAAUUCCUAAG